RNAcentral lists this ribosomal RNA (498 nucleotides) under uncultured bacterium. Its description in RNAcentral is "partial 16S ribosomal RNA". It matches the Rfam family "Bacterial small subunit ribosomal RNA", at positions 30 to 523 of the family's 1533-position model. The record is from RNAcentral.
AUUGAACGCUGGCGGCAUGCCUUACACAUGCAAGUCGAACGGUAACAGGUCUUCGGAUGCUGACGAGUGGCGAACGGGUGAGUAAUACAUCGGAACGUGCCUAGUAGUGGGGGAUAACUACUCGAAAGAGUGGCUAAUACCGCAUGAGAUCUACGGAUGAAAGCAGGGGAUCGCAAGACCUGGUGCUACUAGAGCGGCCGAUGGCAGAUUAGGUAGUUGGUGGGAUAAAAGCUUACCAAGCCGACGAUCUGUAGCUGGUCUGAGAGGACGAUCAGCCACACUGGGACUGAGACACGGCCCAGACUCCUGCGGGAGGCAGCAGUGGGGAAUUUUGGACAAUGGGCGAAAGCCUGAUCCAGCAAUGCCGCGUGCAGGAUGAAGGCCUUCGGGUUGUAAACUGCUUUUGUACGGAACGAAAAGCCCCGGGUUAAUACCCUGGGGUCAUGACGGUACCGUAAGAAUAAGCACCGGCUAACUACGUGCCAGCAGCAGCCGCCG